Stegodyphus mimosarum is the source of this 73-nucleotide non-coding RNA. Lineage: Eukaryota; Metazoa; Arthropoda; Arachnida; Araneae; Eresidae. The record is from Rfam.
GCCUUCGUAGUGUAGUGGUCAACUCGCUCGGAGCGCAUUCGAGAAGUCCAAGGUUCGAGUCCCGGCGAGGGCA